RNAcentral lists this transfer RNA (74 nucleotides) under Tenericutes bacterium ADurb.Bin024. Its description in RNAcentral is "tRNA-Gly". It matches the Rfam family "tRNA". Rfam says of the family: Transfer RNA (tRNA) molecules are approximately 80 nucleotides in length. Their secondary structure includes four short double-helical elements and three loops (D, anti-codon, and T loops). Further hydrogen bonds mediate the characteristic L-shaped molecular structure. tRNAs have two regions of fundamental functional importance: the anti-codon, which is responsible for specific mRNA codon recognition, and the 3' end, to which the tRNAs corresponding amino acid is attached (by aminoacyl-tRNA synthetases). tRNAs cope with the degeneracy of the genetic code in two manners: having more than one tRNA (with a specific anti-codon) for a particular amino acid; and 'wobble' base-pairing, i.e. permitting non-standard base-pairing at the 3rd anti-codon position. Lineage: Bacteria; Bacillati; Mycoplasmatota. RNAcentral also lists the same sequence under 7 other names. The record is from RNAcentral.
GCAGGUGUAGUUCAAUGGUAGAACAUUAGCCUUCCAAGCUAAAUACGCGGGUUCGAUUCCCGUCACCUGCUCCA